This 416-nucleotide ribosomal RNA is filed under the name uncultured prokaryote. RNAcentral's name for it is "bacterial SSU rRNA". It matches the Rfam family "Bacterial small subunit ribosomal RNA", at positions 505 to 918 of the family's 1533-position model. The record is from RNAcentral.
GUGUCAGCCGCCGCGGUAAGACGGGGGAGGCAAGCGUUGUCCGGAAUUAUUGGGCGUAAAGAGCGCGUAGGUGGUUUGUAAAGUCAUUUGUGAAAACUUUAGGCUUAACUUAAAGACUGCAAGUGAUACUGACAAACUUGAGUACAGUAGAGGAAAGUGGAAUUCCUGGUGUAGCGGUGAAAUGCGCAGAUAUCAGGAAGAACACCAGUGGCGAAGGCGGCUUUCUGGGCUGUUACUGACACUGAGGCGCGAAAGCUAGGGGAGCGAACAGGAUUAGAUACCCUGGUAGUCCUAGCUGUAAACGAUGGAUACUAGGUGUGGGAAGUUAUCGACGCUUUCCGUGCCGAAGCUAACGCAAUAAGUAUCCCGCCUGGGGAGUACGGCCGCAAGGCUAAAACUCAAAUGAAUUGGCGGGG